UACGAAGGGUGCUAGCGUUGUUCGGAAUUACUGGGCUUAAAGGGCGCGUAGGCGGCCUGCUAAGUCGGACGUGAAAUCCCUCGGCUCAACCGAGGAACUGCGUCCGAUACUGGUGGGCUUGAAUCCGGGAGAGGGAUGUGGAACUCCAGGUGUAGCGGUGAAAUGCGUAGAUAUCUGGAGGAACACCGGUGGCGAAGGCGGCAUCCUGGACCGGUAUUGACGCUGAGGCGCGAAAGCUAGGGGAGCAAACGGG
This 253-nucleotide ribosomal RNA is filed under the name uncultured bacterium. RNAcentral describes it as "partial 16S ribosomal RNA". It matches the Rfam family "Bacterial small subunit ribosomal RNA", at positions 524 to 776 of the family's 1533-position model. The record is from RNAcentral.